Molecule: long non-coding RNA, 1612 nt
Filed under: Marmota monax (woodchuck)
Lineage: Eukaryota; Metazoa; Chordata; Mammalia; Rodentia; Sciuridae
Source: RNAcentral
GCGGUUCUGGACUCGGUCCACGUCGCAGCGCCCCACGCCCCCGCCUCCGUCCUCGCCUCAGUCGCCGCCGUUUUUCAGCCACUCUGCGCAGCCCACAGGCCGACCCUGGCGCGGGGCUGUAGGAGGCGAACGGUGGGGAGGGGACUGGGGGGCGAUAGCAGCCUGGGUUCCUGUCGCUGAGAGGCAGGCCCCUCGUCCUGGUCUUUGCACGUGAGCUCGGCCUCCGGCUUCCCGAGAAGGCCCUCCCAGGCUGAGGCGUCCCGAGCAGGCAGCUUCCCCGCCACCUGUUUCCCGCGCUCCUUAGUCGCCAGUCCCACGCGGAGCCGGCCCUCCAGGGCUCGCAGCCGGCUCCUGGUACCCAGAGCAGAUGCAGGAUUGCAGAAGGCAGCUGGGCCUGGGAUGGGAUUUAACAAACCCCUUGGGGACCUUGAUUCCCAGGGAAGAAUGGCAGUGACCACCACGGAUUGGGGGCCCAGUCAGGCAGCCCAGAAACAGGGCGUUCAUACAGACAGAUGUAAAGACCCAAAACCAGCAUGUGUGAACCUACCUCCACGGCUGGGACAGGAUGUGAGGCACCAAGAAUCCAGUUCAUCCAACUGGUGUGUCAGAAAAAGAUGCCAUCUCAAUAUUGGUUUAUGUUUAUUUUCCACUGACCCUGUGGGUGAAGACGUCCUUGUCUAAUACUCCAUCUGAACGCUUUCCAGCUCAUCCAGUAUGUCACCAGGUAACACCACUGAAGUCUUGUUGGCUGUUUCUGCUUUCCCCAGGCUGAGGCAUCCCGAGGCCUUAGCCUCUCUCACCUGCUAAACUUUGCCUUCCCAUUUCUUUUAGCAAAUAAAAGUCCAGAAGCUAUAAAAUUCAGUUUAGUGGUUCAACUAAACUGAAUUUAAUUGAAAUUAAAUUGUUACUGAUCAGAGUUAUUGAUAAGAAAACAAUAAGACAGUCUCUGCAGGAGUUUAUAGCUAGUGAUAAUCAGAAAUUUUUAGAUCAAUCAAUGUCAAGUAAGUCGCUGUUAGAAAAUGAUUAUAUGUUAGGAAAAGCCCAGGUCAGGGAUCAGCCAAGGACAAUUAAUGGCAUGAGCUUAAAAAAUUAGGACUUGUUUAAAAUUAGGACAAAUGACCAAACUGGGCUUAAAGAGGAGAUUUCAUUGGUGAUGAGUUAGGGGAGAAAAAAAGUUUAUGCCACAGUUACUUUCAUAAUUUUAAUUAAAAUCUAUUCAGAAAAAAAUCUACAUUCUACUAAAUAUUUUAUAAUCUGGUUUUGUUUUUUUUUUUUUAGUUUCUAAAGGCUCUUCAUAAACAGUAUCUUUAAAGUGUCUUGUACUAACUUUUUCUUCUAUCUUGGGUCAUAUAGAGCAAAAUUUCCUAACAAACACACAAAGUAUAAAUGAAGGACACUGAGAAUAUUUGAAGGAAAUUAUCAAAUAUAUUGACCUAAUUCAUGGAUCAAAGUAAUUCUCUUUCACUUUGUUUCCUUCCAGGUUAACAGAUAUGGAGGUUUCUAUGAGGAUUUGGAGAAGAGUCUCAAUGACUGCUAAAAUUCUGGACUAGAUUUGUUAGGAAAGGUAAAGAAACAAGGAUUUACUAGAAGUAAAGAGGAGGUUAUAAUGGUU